Molecule: ribosomal RNA, 429 nt
Filed under: Acidobacteriota bacterium
Lineage: Bacteria; Pseudomonadati; Acidobacteriota
Description: Acidobacteria bacterium partial 16S ribosomal RNA
Rfam family: Bacterial small subunit ribosomal RNA
Source: RNAcentral
UGGGGAAUUUUGGACAAUGGGGGAAACCCUGAUCCAGCCAUCCCGCGUGUGCGAUGAAGGCCUUCGGGUUGUAAAGCACUUUUGGCAGGAAAGAAACGUCAUGGGUUAAUACCCCGUGAAACUGACGGUACCUGCAGAAUAAGCACCGGCUAACUACGUGCCAGCAGCCGCGGUAAUACGUAGGGUGCAAGCGUUAAUCGGAAUUACUGGGCGUAAAGCGUGCGCAGGCGGUUCGGAAAGAAAGAUGUGAAAUCCCAGAGCUCAACUUUGGAACUGCAUUUGUAACUACCGGGCUAGAGUGUGUCAGAGGGAGGUGGAAUUCCGCGUGUAGCAGUGAAAUGCGUAGAUAUGCGGAGGAACACCGAUGGAGAAGGCAGCCUCCUGGGAUAACACUGACGCUCAUGCACGAAAGCGUGGGGAGCAAACAGG